Molecule: ribosomal RNA, 344 nt
Filed under: uncultured bacterium
Lineage: Bacteria
Description: bacterial SSU rRNA
Rfam family: Bacterial small subunit ribosomal RNA
Source: RNAcentral
UCAGACACGUCAGAGUUUGAUCCUGGCUCAGGAUGAACGCUAGCUACAGGCUUAACACAUGCAAGUCGAGGGGCAGCAUGGGCUUAGCUUGCUAAGCCCGAUGGCGACCGGCGCACGGGUGAGUAACACGUAUCCAACCUUCCGGUAACUCCGGUAUAGCCUUUCGAAAGAAAGAUUAAUCCCGGAUAGUAUGGUGAUUCCGCAUGGUUUCUCCAUUAAAGGAUCCGGUUACCGAUGGGGAUGCGUUCCAUUAGGCAGUUGGCGGGGUAACGGCCCACCAAACCUACGAUGGAUAGGGGAGCUGAGAGGCUUAUCCCCCACAUUGGGACUGAGACACGGCCCAA